GCAGCCGCAGGGCAGGAGCCCCCACAGCCCCCGCUGCUCCCCCGCACGCCCGGCCGCCCUGGCUCGAGCCACUGCCACCUCCCAGCACAUUCCACGGCACUGGAAAUCCUUUCCUAUCCUUCUGGAGAAUCCUUCCCCACCUCCAAUCCAAUCCGAGUUCUUCAGGGGAUCGGGAAGAGCGAUGAACUUUUCCACCUGAUCUCCCCCCGCGGAUUCCCAGACACUCCUCAGGCACGCUCACGGCUCCCUCAGCCACCGGCAUUUCUGUCCUUUCCCCUACACGGGGCGGGGGGGAAACCCUGAGCCCUUCCAGCAUCCACGGCUUUGUCUGCAAGGGUUAAACCAGGGAAUGGAGCAGCGUCCUUUCUGUCGGAGACACGCCACCUGAACGCGAAAUCAAACCUACUCACCGGGUGAAAUCGCAGGAGGCGAAGCGGCUGCGAGCAAAACGCGUCCCGGCUCCGAGCACAUAGUCCAUGGCUCUCUGUAUGGAAAUCACGAGCUGGCUCGGUGGAAAAAUCUCCCUUUUCUUCGCAUGGUGCCUCUGGAAUGUGUGCGGAAUCUCAAGGUGUGUGGGGGAGAGGGAGGCAGUGCCAGCAUUUAUGGAGCUUGGUGUGUGUCCCCCCCUGCCCCUAGUCCCUCUCCUCCCUCCGUGCUGUGAGCAGACACGCGUUCAUGGCUAAUAAAAACGCUUUUCCCUGUGUAUUAUUGGGCUGAGAGCUAAACCGAAAGCCAGUCCGUGUCCUGGAACAGCCUGCAGAUCCGCCAGGAGCUUUGGCAUCCCUGCGGUGUAGCCUGGCUGUGUUCACCUCAUGCUUCCCGGGAUCAAUAAGCACACUAACCAUACCGAUUGUGUGAUGUAUACGUUGGGCAGUACGGAGCGAUCGCAGCAUUACACCAACACCUGUCUGCUGUGCUACAUGCGGUCUAUCAAAAAGAGAUGGUAAUUUCUGUGGAGCUUUUUGAUCAAGAAAGUUUUUGUCUUCUCUCCAUUACCUCUGUAAGCACCAGUUCACGGCCGUUUGCCAGUCUGGCAGUUUUAUGUUUCCAGAAUCUGUCGUGAAAUAUUGGGAAACCACAGAAACCCAAGAUUCCUCUGACAUCACGUCGGUUUGUUCCUGUCAGCAUGUUUAAUCAUUUUUGUGCUAAAUGAGCUGAUCUUAGUAAUGAUUUGCCCUGCUUGGGGUUUUAUUGACUUUUUCAUUAGCAAGGAGGUAAGAAAAGGAUUGAAGGAAGGAUGUUACAGUUAGUGAAAAAAAUGCACUGUCCAUUUCAAUUGUAGUAGCUGUUAAAUAUGUAGGUACAUGUAUGCUGCCUUAUGCAGUUAUAAAAAUGAAAGACAUGCCACCUUGCCUCCUUGCCUCAGAAUAUGAUUUCUCUCACAGCAACAAGUAGCACAGGCUCUUCUCUCCCCUUUUCUCCUCCCCUUCAGCCCCUCCUGACAAAAUGCCAGUUAUAAAGGUCAGCCUGUUUAUGUAAAGACUGUGUGUUUCUUACCAAAGACCGCUGCACGUCAAGCCUGCAAUGACUAUCAAAUAGACUUGGGAUUCAAGACACUCAACAAGAGCACUGUCCAUUUCCUAGGACUGAUAAAAUCCCAGGCAAAACAGAAGACAAAGAGCCGUAGUGUGUGACUGGGGUAGGUCACCAGCACCAGGGUGCACACGGGGAGAAGUGUCUUCA
RNAcentral lists this long non-coding RNA (1683 nucleotides) under Manacus vitellinus (golden-collared manakin). Its description in RNAcentral is "lncRNA (ENSMVIG00005005241.1)". Lineage: Eukaryota; Metazoa; Chordata; Aves; Passeriformes; Pipridae. The record is from RNAcentral.